GACUAUGUGUCUGAUAUUAUCAGGUACAUAUAUGAAUGUCUUAUAUGUAUCUGAUAAUAUGAGAACGUUAGUGUCUUUGUUUAUAUUUCAGAAUUUUCUAUGAUACAAAGUUUAAGAAUCAGGAAAAAUAUCGUAAGAAGGUAAAGAAAAAUUUCAAACUGGGAGAAGAUAUUUAUAUAGAACACAUAUAGUUUGCAGAUAAUUCAUAUACAGAAUAUCUACUGGGCUCCUUGUAAGAAAACUACAAAGAAACACAUUGGAAAAUGAGCAAAAGACCGAAGUCUAGUGAGAGAAAAGGAAACGCAUGCUUUUUUAUGCACUGUAUGAGAUAUUUUUGCUCAUUGAUAUGUUUAUGCUCAUAAUAUAUUUAUGCUCAUUACUAACGAAGGAAAUAAGAUGAGACACAACUUGAGACUCACAAGAUGGGGGAACGUCUUCGGUCACAGUCUUGACUAAAAUGAAAACACACACCGCCAGUCUAGGAGGUGAAUUUAUAGAAUCAUGUGGAAAAAAAAGUGGCAUAAACAAAUAUAAAUAAACACAGGCAUGAUUUAGGAAUGAGCAGAUGGUCUCAGUGGUAGGCACUCUAGAGAAGUUAUCACCCGUGACCAGGAGAUGUCCAGAGUGUCCAAAGGACCCUUGUCUCCAGGUUCAUGGUCUAAAAGAAUAAACUCAGGUACUUAUAAAGGUAAGGGCAAGGUUGAGGGAAACCAACACAUUUUGUGAAGCCCCUUUCCUUCCAUAGACUUGGAGAGGUGGGAGGUGAAAGAAGAGAGAGCCAUUAUGAAAACCUUGUAGGAGAAGGUGACCUAACUAAAAUCAUUCCCACCCAAAGCAUGAACUCCCAGUCUAAUAGAGUCUUACGGAGAGGAGGAAGCACCUCGCUCUCCUCUGGUACAUUCUAAGUUCAUCUCUCUGGUGUCCCUUUCUGAUGGAUCUCAACAAGAAACCAUAUAAAAGGGGAUUUUAUCAUGCCACCUACAGCAUAUGUCUCACCAAAAGGCAUAUGCAUAUGGCAGCCACCGUUACUUGAAGCCACUGAGUGUUUGAAAUGUGUCUGGUGUGAGUGGAGGUGUGCGAUGUGUUCAGUAGACAUUAGAUUCCAAAGAAUUACGAGGACAAACAAAAUGAACAUGAAAUAUCUUAGCUACUUAGUUAGUCGCAGUAAUUGGGACUAACGAUGAUUUUCUUCGCAAAUUUUGUUGGUGAUCCAUUGGGUUAAAUGAAAAUAUAUUAAAAUGAAUUUCUCUAUUUGUUUAAAAAAACAGAAGUAAAGGAGACCAGGGUAACAUGUUCUGUAUCUUGACUGUAGUACUCUGUAUCAACAUAUAUGUAUGUUGUCAUUUUUUUUAUAUUUGUGUGAUCAAAAUUCAUAUAACUGUAAACUGAAUAGGGAAAAUUGUACCAUAUAUGAAUUCUAUUUCAAGAAACGUG
RNAcentral lists this long non-coding RNA (1434 nucleotides) under Marmota monax (woodchuck). The record is from RNAcentral. Lineage: Eukaryota; Metazoa; Chordata; Mammalia; Rodentia; Sciuridae.